CAUGCAAGUCGAACGGCAGCACGGACUUCGGUCUGGUGGCGAGUGGCGAACGGGCUGAUAAUACAUCGGAACGUGCCCAGUCGUGGGGGAUAACGUAGCGAAAGCUACGCUAAUACCGCAUACGAUCUACGGAUGAAAGCGGGGGAUCGCAAGACCUCGCGCGAUUGGAGCGGCCGAUGGCAGAUUAGGUAGUUGGUGGGGUAAAGGCUCACCAAGCCGACGAUCUGUAGCUGGUCUGAGAGGACGACCAGCCACACUGGGACUGAGACACGGCCCAGACUCCUACGGGAGGCAGCAGUGGGGAAUUUUGGACAAUGGGCGCAAGCCUGAUCCAGCCAUUCCGCGUGCAGGAUGAAGGCCCUCGGGUUGUAAACUGCUUUUGUACAGAACGAAAAGGCUCUGGUUAAUACCUGGGGCUCAUGACGGUACUGUAAGAAUAAGCACCGGCUAACUACGUGCCAGCAGCCGCGGUAAUACGUAGGGUGCAAGCGUUAAUCGGAAUUACUGGGCGUAAAGCGUGCGCAGGCGGUGAUGUAAGACAGAGGUGAAAUCCCCGGGCUCAACCUGGGAACUGCCUUUGUGACUGCAUCGCUGGAGUACGGCAGAGGGGGAUGGAAUUCCGCGUGUAGCAGUGAAAUGCGUAGAUAUGCGGAGGAACACCGAUGGCGAAGGCAACCCCCUGGGCCUGUACUGACGCUCAUGCACGAAAGCGUGGGGAGCAAACAGGAUUAGAUACCCUGGUAGUCCACGCCCUAAACGAUGUCAACUGGUUGUUGGGUCUUCACUGACUCGGUAACGAAGCUAACGCGUGAAGUUGACCGCCUGGGGAGUACGGCCGCAAGGUUGA
RNAcentral lists this ribosomal RNA (847 nucleotides) under uncultured bacterium. RNAcentral's name for it is "bacterial SSU rRNA". It matches the Rfam family "Bacterial small subunit ribosomal RNA", at positions 54 to 897 of the family's 1533-position model. The record is from RNAcentral.